CUUUUCCGGGCUUAAACUUUCAAAACGAUGUAGCUUACAGUUUACUUAUCCCGUUUCCUGCUUGAAGUUUUAAGACUGUCGAGUGAACGAAAAUUACUUGUGAUCAGAACAGUCGUUCCGUUCCUGACUCGCACCCUCGCACUUCUCGGCGCCUCAAAUGAGUCAUCAUCCUUGAACCGAACCGAUGUGCUGGGAGCUCUGAGAAGGUGGGGUUGUGAUCUCUAGUGCAUCCCUUCACUUAUCAAAGGCCUGACACAAAGAAGUUGUUCCUCCUGGUUUAUCUGCACAUGAAUGAGGGACCACCUGGUCCUCAAGCUGCUGCCUUGCCAUGAGUCCUUUCCACCCGGCUGCCCGUCUCCACCCCUCCUACCGG
Molecule: long non-coding RNA, 373 nt
Organism: Artibeus jamaicensis (Jamaican fruit-eating bat)
Lineage: Eukaryota; Metazoa; Chordata; Mammalia; Chiroptera; Phyllostomidae
Exons: 3
Source: RefSeq, a predicted model, not a curated record